GACGGAGGAUGCAAGCGUUAUCCGGAAUGAUUGGGCGUAAAGCGUCCGCAGGUGGCAGUUCAAGUCUGCUGUCAAAGACCGGGGCUUAACUUCGGAAAGGCAGUGGAAACUGAACAGCUAGAGUAUGGUAGGGGCAGAGGGAAUUCCUGGUGUAGCGGUGAAAUGCGUAGAGAUCAGGAGGAAUACCGAUGGCGAAGGCAGGUCCCUGGGCUGACACUGACGCUCAUGCACGAAAGCGUGGGGAGCAAACAGG
RNAcentral lists this ribosomal RNA (253 nucleotides) under uncultured bacterium. RNAcentral's name for it is "partial 16S ribosomal RNA". It matches the Rfam family "Bacterial small subunit ribosomal RNA", at positions 524 to 776 of the family's 1533-position model. The record is from RNAcentral.